This is a long non-coding RNA of Mauremys mutica (yellowpond turtle), 1308 nucleotides long. RefSeq lists it as uncharacterized. The record is from RefSeq and is a predicted model, not a curated record. NCBI's taxonomy places the organism in Eukaryota, Metazoa, Chordata, Testudines, Geoemydidae. The transcript has 3 exons.
AUACCGGUAUGGCAAGUUCUACAGGAUGCAGACAGGAACUCAUCUCAACAUUGUCCUGGGGACCUACCAAAAUGGAGGCUGUUAUUGGGAAGACUCUCCGUAAGCACACACAAGGGUGCUAGGCAGCCAGAACUACGUAUGCAGAGCAAUGAUCCCAGCUAGAGGAGCUACUGACUGAGCGAAUGACUGACAGACAAAGCAGAAUGUCGGUCCCGGGAUGCCCCUCGACUGGACACAGUUUAAUCAUCUCCCAUCAUCCAGACUGAUGUUUUCCUUCUGGCUCUGGGCUUUCGCUGGGAGACAUGAGCCAACGAUUAGAGUCUAUUCCAAACAUAUGGAGCCGCUGCGGGCAGCUGCAGGAAUGCACAGCAGGAGGCGAUCGGAGGGGAUGGAGAUAGGAGGAUACCAGGCAUGAGAGAGAGGAGAAUUCAAUUUACUGUGGUAUGUAAAUACCGAAUGAGUCAAUCCACCCAGGAUAGCGUACUCAUCCCAACCCAACUCCGGCAGCACUGCAAGAGAAGAAUGACCUCUGCUUAAAGGCUGCAGUGGGUUCCCCAUCCCCAUUCAGCGCGUGAGGGAAUUCCUCUACUCCAGGGUGCAGCACAUCCCAGUCACACUAAGCCAGAGAGUGGGAUGAGGGAAGAAGGAAGAGGAGUGGGAGAGAGGAGAAAAAUGCGCAUCCAAAGCAUCCCACAGGCAGAUUAACCCUUUAGACUUGCCACAAAGUUCAACUUUGGUCUGAGCCCUUGCAGGAGGAGGACAAAGUGAAAUUCUCUCUGGCUCAGAUUGGCGUUGGGCCGACACGUCCAUUUUACUAUUGGUGCUUAUUUCAUUUCUGAGUGUGCACGUUUGUAUUGAUUGUGAAAGUGCCCAAAGCAAUGGAUGGGCGCUCCCCCCAUGGCAUUGUGUGCUCUGAACAACAGAUGGAAACAUGAUUGACACUGCUGGCACUCAACAGGUGAGGAGGAAGACUGAUUGCCUGUCAAAUCACCUGAGAUCUCCUUGAGCAAAAGCCACCUCAACUGAGGAUAGCCUGGCCAGACAAGAACACGUAAUGACCAAGAUCAUUGCAGAGGCAUGCGGCAGAAAUGUAGCACUUUUGCACCGGCUUAGGGUCUCUCUGUAGAUUGCAGUCUAAGCUUUCCUUAAAAAAUAAACCCACACCUUUCUCGUCCUGCUACAGCACUGUAUUCUUGGCUCCACAGCCUGCAACAACAGCUCCAAGUUAGAUAUGAACUGCUGCUCGUUCUUAGCAGGGUUAACGCAGACGCCUGGUGAUAACUCUUUAAAUAUCAACAUGAACUUAAC